Molecule: ribosomal RNA, 650 nt
Filed under: uncultured bacterium
Lineage: Bacteria
Description: bacterial SSU rRNA
Rfam family: Bacterial small subunit ribosomal RNA
Source: RNAcentral
GGGGGAAGCCGGACUUGCUCUGGCUGACGAGUGGCGGACGGGUGAGUAAUGCAUAGGAAUCUGCCCAGUAGCGGGGGACAACCUGGUGAAAACCAGGCUAAUACCGCAUACGCCCUACGGGGGAAAGCGGGGGACCUUCGGGCCUCGCACUAUUGGAUGAGCCUAUGUCUGAUUAGCUAGUUGGUGGGGUAACGGCCCACCAAGGCAACGAUCAGUAGCUGGUUUGAGAGGAUGAUCAGCCACACUGGGACUGAGACACGGCCCAGACUCCUACGGGAGGCAGCAGUGGGGAAUAUUGCACAAUGGGCGCAAGCCUGAUGCAGCAAUGCCGCGUGUGUGAAGAAGGCCUGCGGGUUGUAAAGCACUUUCAGUAAGGAGGAAAACUUGUAGGUUAAAACCCUGCGAGCUUGACGUUACUUACAGAAGAAGCACCGGCUAACUCCGUGCCAGCAGCCGCGGUAAUACGGAGGGUGCGAGCGUUAAUCGGAAUUACUGGGCGUAAAGCGCGCGUAGGCGGUUAUGUAAGUCGGAUGUGAAAGCCCUGGGCUUAACCUGGGAAUUGCAUUCGAUACUGCAUGGCUAGAGUAUGGUAGAGGGUAGUGGAAUUCCUGGUGUAGCGGUGAAAUGCGUAGAUAUCAGGAGGAACAUCA